Pygocentrus nattereri (red-bellied piranha) is the source of this 1000-nucleotide long non-coding RNA. RefSeq lists it as uncharacterized. The transcript is spliced from 4 exons. The record is from RefSeq and is a predicted model, not a curated record. Lineage: Eukaryota; Metazoa; Chordata; Actinopteri; Characiformes; Serrasalmidae.
UUCAGUUGACAGUAGUUGUUGGUGGCCGUGGGUUUUGGAGCCCCUGUUGUCUCCCUGCGUCUGCAACUCCUGAGAAGACCGAAGAUUUAGACCGAGCAGCAAGUUCCUAAAGUGUUGAAGCACGAAUGCUAUACAGGACUUUUGAACGCGCUUUCAAGUCCAGUCUGCAGUCCUUUCCCCUAGUCCAGAGCCCCGCUGUCUCUGAAACAGCGCUGUGUACAGCAGUCGGUCAGCGUUUAUGUUUAUAAGCUUGAGCUUCAAAAGGAAAAUUGAAGAGAGUGAGAGGUCAGAGGAGCAGGGAGAGCAGAGCAAAGGCCCGAGGACAGAAGAAUAAAAGCUGGACUGGGUCUGGACAGGUGGACGUGGGAACUUUCCCCAACACCCCAGCACAUUCUCCAGAGCCCUGCAGGACUAAAGGUCUGCGCACAGAGAUUGCACACACAUCUGAAGGACUGCUGUAUAUGCGUGCAAGGGUGUGCAUGUGUGUAUUUUCUCUCUAACAUUAGUCAUCUGGCUGGGACACUCCCAGGGGAGGACCAAGCCCUUGUGAUCUGUCAGCGAGGCUGCUCAGUGCUGUUUGAUAUCUUGUGCAGAGUUGACAGGCCUCUCGUCCCCAGGCCAUUCUUAGUAUUUGCCUUUCCACCCGGCCUUUUCCUGCACACACGGCACUAUAUGAUAUCUGUCUCUUUUCAUCUGAUCAGGCUCUCAUGCCCAAAUACCACAGGGUUACGAGUUGAAUGCGGCAUGUUCGAAAGCCCGCUCCACGUGUCAAUCAGAGCGAGGGCUAGGCCAGGAGACAAUGCCAGAUUAUGAGAGAGAUCAUGAAUUGGCAGAAAUCAGAGAUAAAAAGGGAGAGGGAGGGACUGCAUACCUUGUAUGAGAAAACUACAUGUCUUCUUGUCGUCUUGUAUGAGUCGAUGGUAGACAUGUCAGAAUGUGUAGAUCUCUGUUCUUAGACAUGUGCAGCUAAAAGUACUAAUAAAACUAUCUUCACACCUUU